GAACCUUACCCAGGUCUUGACAUCUUUGAUUCACCUGAGAGAUCAGGUUUCCCCUUGGGGGGCAAAAUGACAGGUGGUGCAUGGUUGUCGUCAGCUCGUGUCGUGAGAUGUUGGGUUAAGUCCCGCAACGAGCGCAACCCUUAUGACUAGUUGCCAGCAUUUAGUUGGGCACUCUAGUAAGACUGCCGGUGACAAACCGGAGGAAGGUGGGGAUGACGUCAAAUCAUCAUGCCCCUUAUGACCUGGGCUACACACGUGCUACAAUGGAUGGUACAACGAGUUGCGAGACCGCGAGGUCAAGCUAAUCUCUUAAAGCCAUUCUCAGUUCGGACUGUAGGCUGCAACUCGCCUACACGAAGUCGGAAUCGCUAGUAAUCGCGGAUCAGCACGCCGCGGUGAAUACGUUCCCGGGUCUUGUACACACCGCCU
This 429-nucleotide ribosomal RNA is filed under the name uncultured bacterium. Its description in RNAcentral is "bacterial SSU rRNA". It matches the Rfam family "Bacterial small subunit ribosomal RNA", at positions 966 to 1395 of the family's 1533-position model. The record is from RNAcentral.